UACGGGGGAUCCGGGCGUUAUCCGGAUUUAUUGGGUUUAAAGGGUGCGCAGGCGGGGGAUUAAGUCGGCGGUGAAAUUUUGCAGCUCAACUGUAAAAGUGCCUUCGAAACUGGUUUCCUUGAGUGUAGAUGAAGUAGGCGGAAUUUGUGGUGUAGCGGUGAAAUGCAUAGAUAUCACGAGGAACUCCGAUUGCGCAGGCAGCUUACUAAACUACUACUGACGCUCAGGCACGAAGGCGUGGGGAUCAAACAGGAUUAGAUACCCGCGUAGUCCCUGA
RNAcentral lists this ribosomal RNA (277 nucleotides) under uncultured prokaryote. RNAcentral's name for it is "partial 16S ribosomal RNA". It matches the Rfam family "Bacterial small subunit ribosomal RNA", at positions 524 to 800 of the family's 1533-position model. The record is from RNAcentral.